GAGGAGCCUGCGCCGGAUUAGCUAGUUGGUAGGGUAAUGGCCUACCAAGGCGACGAUCCGUAGCCGGCCUGAGAGGGUGACCGGCCACACUGGAACUGAGACACGGUCCAGACUCCUACGGGAGGCAGCAGUGGGGAAUUUUGCGCAAUGGGGGAAACCCUGACGCAGCAACGCCGCGUGGACGAUGAAGGCCUUUGGGUCGUAAAGUCCUGUCAGCAGGGAAAAACACAAUGAUGGUACCUGCAGGGGAAGCUCCGGCUAACUUCGUGCCAGCAGCCGCGGUAAUACGAGGGGAGCAAGCGUUGUUCGGAAUCAUUGGGCGUAAAGGGCGCGUAGGCGGCCAGUACAAGUCUGGGGUGAAAUCCCUCGGCUUAACCGAGGAAUGGCCUUGGAAACUGUAUGGCUGGAGUACUGGAGAGGAAAGCGGAAUUCCCAGUGUAGCGGUGAAAUGCGUAGAUAUUGGGAGG
Molecule: ribosomal RNA, 467 nt
Filed under: uncultured Acidobacteriota bacterium
Lineage: Bacteria; Pseudomonadati; Acidobacteriota
Description: bacterial SSU rRNA
Rfam family: Bacterial small subunit ribosomal RNA
Source: RNAcentral